Molecule: ribosomal RNA, 449 nt
Filed under: uncultured bacterium
Lineage: Bacteria
Description: partial 16S ribosomal RNA
Rfam family: Bacterial small subunit ribosomal RNA
Source: RNAcentral
AACGAACGCUGGCGGCAUGCCUAACACAUGCAAGUCGAACGAAGCCUUCGGGCUUAGUGGCGCACGGGUGCGUAACGCGUGGGAAUCUGCCCUUGGGUUCGGAAUAACAGUUAGAAAUGACUGCUAAUACCGGAUGAUGUCUUCGGACCAAAGAUUUAUCGCCCAAGGAUGAGCCCGCGUAGGAUUAGGUAGUUGGUGGGGUAAUGGCCCACCAAGCCGACGAUCCUUAGCUGGUCUGAGAGGAUGAGCAGCCACACUGGGAGUGAGACACGGCCCAGGCUCCUACGGGAGCCAGCAGUGGGGAAUAUUGGACAAUGGGCGAAAGCCUGAUCCAGCAAUGCCGCGUGAGUGAUGAAGGCCUUAGGGUUGUAAAGCUCUUUUACCAGGGAUGAUAAUGACAGUACCUGGAGAAUAAGCUCCGGCUAACUCCGUGCCAGCAGCCGCCGUAA